CAGUCGCCGCGGUAAUACGUAGGGGGCAAGCGUUAUCCGGAAUUACUGGGUGUAAAGGGAGCGUAGACGGUUAAACAAGUCUGAAGUGAAAUGCCGGGGCUCAACCCCGGAGCUGCUUUGGGAACUGUAGAACUGGAGUGUCGGAGGGGUAAGCGGAAUUCCCAGUGUAGCGGUGAAAUGCGUAGGUAUUGGGAGGAACACCGGCGGCGAAGGCGGCUUACUGGACGACAACUGACGUUGAGGCUCGAAGGCGUGGGUAGCAAACAGGAUUAGAUACCCGAGUAGUCCCUGUCUCUUAUAC
Molecule: ribosomal RNA, 301 nt
Filed under: uncultured bacterium
Lineage: Bacteria
Description: partial 16S ribosomal RNA
Rfam family: Bacterial small subunit ribosomal RNA
Source: RNAcentral